This 1023-nucleotide long non-coding RNA is filed under the name Podarcis lilfordi (Lilford's wall lizard). The record is from RNAcentral. Lineage: Eukaryota; Metazoa; Chordata; Lepidosauria; Squamata; Lacertidae.
CCCGGAAAUGAGGCAAGGUCCCUCCACCCCACAGUAGGGCAGGACACACACUCUGAGCUGUUUAACCCUGUAAGCUCAGGUUCUCCUCACAAAGGAAUCUCACCGUUGCAUUCUGCACCCGCUGGAGUUUCUGGGUCAGCUUCACGGCCAGCCCCGCGUAGAGCGAGUUACAGUAAUCAAGGCUGGAGGUGACUGUUGCAUGGAUCAUUGUGGCCAGAUCAGGGCGAGAAAGGUAAGGGACCAACUGCUUGAAAUGGCAGAGAUGGGAAAAUGCCACCUUUGCUGUGGCUGAAACCUGCGCCUCCAUGGAAAGGGAGGCUUCAAAGGUUACACCCAAGCUCUUGACAGAAGGCGCUGGCACUAAUUUGAGCCCCCACAAGAGAUGUGAGUUGGCCCCCCAACCCCAUGUUGUCCCGACCCAGCCAAAGGACCUGUCUUCGAAGGAUUUAACUUCAACCGGCUCCCAUGCAGCCAUCCAGCCACAGUUUCCAAGCAUCUGGUCAGUGUGUCCAGGCCGAGUCAGGGCGGCCGUCCAUCAACAGAUAAAGCUGGGUGUCAUCAGCAUAUUGAUGACAACCCAGCCCAAACCCCCAGACAAUCUGGGCAAGAUACUGAAGAUACUGAAAAGCAUCGGGGAAAGGAUUGCGCCCAGUGGGACUCCACACACCAAGGAGUGCCGCGGCGACAACUCCCUCCCUAGCGCCACCCUCUGUCCCCGACCUGAGAUAAAGGAGUGCAGCCAUUGUUGGACUGUGCCCUGAAUCCCCACAUCAGCAAGGCAGUGGUCCAAAAGUUUGUGACCGACCAUAUCGAAGGCUGCUGACAUGUAAAUGCAUGAUCUUUAAAUCUCUAGACAAAAGGGACAAAUUGUUGCUUUAGAUAUGCUAUUAAAGUUAAAAUGGAAUGUAACCAAACCAAAGGUGAGAAAAAAAGUUUUUGGAAAGGAAGAGAUGUGUGGAAAAAUGCUAAAUGUCAUCUCAGUAUGUAAACCAAAAUAGUAGCUUUUAAAGGGGGAAAUGACUU